This 497-nucleotide ribosomal RNA is filed under the name uncultured bacterium. Its description in RNAcentral is "partial 16S ribosomal RNA". It matches the Rfam family "Bacterial small subunit ribosomal RNA", at positions 28 to 507 of the family's 1533-position model. The record is from RNAcentral.
GAUGAACGCUGGCGGCGUGCCUAAUACAUGCAAGUCGAGCGAACAGACGAGGAGCUUGCUCCUCUGACGUUAGCGGCGGACGGGUGAGUAACACGUGGAUAACCUACCUAUAAGACUGGGAUAACUUCGGGAAACCGGAGCUAAUACCGGAUAAUAUAUUGAACCGCAUGGUUCAAUAGUUAAAGACGGUUUUGCUGUCACUUAUAGAUGGAUCCGCGCCGCAUUAGCUAGUUGGUAAGGUAACGGCUUACCAAGGCAACGAUGCGUAGCCGACCUGAGAGGGUGAUCGGCCACACUGGAACUGAGACACGGUCCAGACUCCUACGGGAGGAAGCAGUAGGGAAUCUUCCGCAAUGGGCGAAAGCCUGACGUAGCAACGCCGCGUGAGUGAUGAAGGUCUUCGGAUCGUAAAACUCUGUUAUUAGGGAAGAACAAAUGUGUAAGUAACUAUGCACGUCUUGACGGUACCUAAUCAGAAAGCCACGGCUAACUACGUG